Molecule: ribosomal RNA, 725 nt
Filed under: uncultured fungus
Lineage: Eukaryota; Fungi
Description: eukaryotic LSU rRNA
Rfam family: 5.8S ribosomal RNA (bases 275-428)
Source: RNAcentral
CUUGGUCAUUUAGAGGAAGUAAAAGUCGUAACAAGGUUUCCGUAGGUGAACCUGCGGAAGGAUCAUUAAUGAUUGGUGGCUGUUGCUGACUAGUGUUUCUAGUAUGUGCACGCCACACCUUCAAUCCCACUUACACCUGUGCACCUUCUGUAAUAGAUCUAUGUGGAUACGGAGGUGAAAGUUUGCGCUCUCCUACUCUGUUGAAGCACAGUCUACUACGUUUUUUUUUACACACACACACAAUAGUCAUUGAAUGUAUUUUUAUGAUAAAAACAACUUUCAACAACGGAUCUCUUGGCUCUCGCAUCGAUGAAGAACGCAGCGAAAUGCGAUACGUAAUGUGAAUUGCAGAAUUCAGUGAAUCAUCGAAUCUUUGAACGCACAUUGCGCUCUCUGGUAUUCCGGAGAGCGUGCUUGUUUGAGUAUCAGUAAACACCUCAACUCCUUUAUUGUAGUUGGACUUGAGCUAUCCCAACAGGACUUUUGUUCCUGGCGGGAGGCUUGAAAUGCAGGUGCAGCUGGACUUUCUUCUGAGCUAUAAGCAUAUUUAUUUAAUCCCUUAACACGGAUUAUUACUUUUUUGCUGCAGCUAACAUAAAGGUUGAAUUUCCAUUGAGCUGACUGAUGCAGGAAUUUGGCAAGGAAUUUUUUUAAUGACUUGUUAAACUCGAUCUCAAAUCAAGUAAGACUACCCGCUGAACUUAAGCAUAUCAAUAAGCGGAGGA